This 940-nucleotide long non-coding RNA is filed under the name Medicago truncatula (barrel medic). Its description in RNAcentral is "lncRNA gene45356". The record is from RNAcentral. Lineage: Eukaryota; Viridiplantae; Streptophyta; Magnoliopsida; Fabales; Fabaceae.
GCAACACUUGAAAUAAAGGGUCUUCCCUCAUAUAUGAUCAUCACUCAUUUUAGUUUUAUAAAUUUGUGAAUAUACAAACAUGUCUUUUAACUAAUUGUCUUGAAGGCAAGUGCGGGUAACUAGUUAGAAGAAAGAUUGUUAAUAAUCAUCAACCAUAAUGAUUAUUAGUAAUAUUAGAGUGAAUGAAAAGAUUUUUGUAAGAUUGUGUUUUUCUUUGAGUUUUUGUAUGAUUGUCUUGUGGUCAUCACUAGGGUGAGGACUACUUUUCUAUUUUGAUAUACCGUAUUUCAGGUCCUUGUAAUGCUUUGUUGGUGAAAUAGAUGAGUUUUUGACCUCUGUCGCUCUCUCUAAUCAAGGCUCAUUGAUUGCUUUUGCCGAAAUUGAUAGAUAUAUGAACAUUAUCUCUCCCUUUUUGGAUCAUUAGAGAAUUGGUAUUUGAGAUAGGGCAUGUUUAAGUCGGGCUAGAGUCGCUUCAAAUUCGCAUUCUUCAGACCAUUCAGAUGCAGAUUCCUUCCUCAACAACCUGUAGAAAGGAGGGGCAUAUUAGACGUCUUCCAACAUUUAGAUUGAUUUCUUUGGAGUAGGUAUCUCAAUGAAAGCUCUGCAUUUAUCCGAAUUUGCUUCAAUCCCUCUUUCGAUUAAGUAAAAUCCGAGGAACUUAUUCGUGUGGAUUCCAAACAUUACAUUUUUUUUUCCUGGUUGAGACACAUAUUAUAUUUUUUGAUUUGUUAGAAAUUUCCUUGAGAUGGAUGGUAUGAUCUACAUUUUCUUUAGGUUUACAAUAAUGUAUCCAUUUAGAUUUUAGGCAUAUUCUCAGUUUCGUAUUUAAAGACUUUCUUCAUCAUUUUUUUUGCCCCUCUAUUUUUGAAUCUAAAACGCAUUACGUUGUAUAAUCAAUGCACAUGUACCAUUCAUUAUUUGAUUUCUUAACGAGUACGAC